RNAcentral lists this ribosomal RNA (629 nucleotides) under uncultured Gammaproteobacteria bacterium. RNAcentral's name for it is "partial 16S ribosomal RNA". Lineage: Bacteria; Pseudomonadati; Pseudomonadota; Gammaproteobacteria. The record is from RNAcentral.
CAACGCGUUGGGAGCUCUCCCAUAUGGUCGACCUGCAGGCGGCCGCGAAUUCACUAGUGAUUCGUAUUACCGCGGCUGCUGGCACAGAGUUAGCCGGUGCUUAUUCUGUCGGUAACGUCAAAACACUAACGUAUUAGGUUAAUGCCCUUCCUCCCAACUUAAAGUGCUUUACAAUCCGAAGACCUUCUUCACACACGCGGCAUGGCUGGAUCAGGCUUUCGCCCAUUGUCCAAUAUUCCCCACUGCUGCCUCCCGUAGGAGUCUGGACCGUGUCUCAGUUCCAGUGUGACUGAUCAUCCUCUCAGACCAGUUACGGAUCGUCGCCUUGGUGAGCCGUUACCCCACCAACUAGCUAAUCCGACCUAGGCUCAUCUGAUAGCGCAAGGCCCGAAGGUCCCCUGCUUUCUCCCGUAGGACGUAUGCGGUAUUAGCGUCCGUUUCCGAGCGUUAUCCCCCACUACCAGGCAGAUUCCUAGGCAUUACUCACCCGUCCGCCGCUCUCAAGAGGUGCAAGCACCUCUCUACCGCUCGACUUGCAUGUGUUAGGCCUGCCGCCAGCGUUCAAUCUGAGCCAUGAUCAAACUCUAAUCGAAUUCCCGCGGCCGCCAUGGCGGCCGCAAGCAUGCGAC